UGGCAUUUUACGUCAAAUUUGGUCAAGUAUUUAUUUUUUUAAAGAAUAAACAAAAUUUUUUCGUAACCUCUCUAACUUAAAGAAAGCUACCUUAAUGGAGCGAGAUAGAUAUUUUUUUAGGCAUUGCGUAAAGAGGUUAGACAUAUUUUACAUGACAACAUCAAUUAUGUCAGUUAUGACCAAAUUAUCUUUUGUUUUUAGUGACCAAAAAUGGCUAUUGUUGUGGUUCCGGUGUAACGGUAUUCGAAAUAUUACGGAAAUAAUAACCAAUAAGCUUGUGAAUCGCAAAAUAAAUUAAAUAUUGUACAAUGGUGAAGUGCGCAGUUGUUGCCUGCACCAACAAAACCCAAACAAAACUAGCGGGAAAUUCAUUUCACAAAUUUCCAAAAAAUCAUGAUUUAAGACAAAAAUAGCUAAACAGCAUUAACAGGCCUGAUUUCCAUGACGAUACAGCUGCAUAUAUUGUAGUGAUCAUUUUAAGAAGGAUCACAUUAAUUUUACAUUACGCCUUCUGCGCCUCAAGGACAAUGCCUGCCCAUCAAUCCCGAAUUUAUCACCUGAGCAACAAGUAAGACAACCCUUGCAAG
Bicyclus anynana (squinting bush brown) is the source of this 587-nucleotide long non-coding RNA. RefSeq lists it as uncharacterized. Lineage: Eukaryota; Metazoa; Arthropoda; Insecta; Lepidoptera; Nymphalidae. The transcript is spliced from 3 exons. The record is from RefSeq and is a predicted model, not a curated record.